UACGUAGGGGGCCAGCGUUGUUCGGAAUUACUGGGUGUAAAGGGUGCGUAGGCGGGUCUUUAAGUCAGGGGUGAAAUCCUGGAGCUCAACUCCAGAACUGCCUUUGAUACUGAAGAUCUUGAGUUCGGGAGAGGUGAGUGGAACUGCGAGUGUAGAGGUGAAAUUCGUAGAUAUUCGCAAGAACACCAGUGGCGAAGGCGGCUCACUGGCCCGAUACUGACGCUGAGGCACGAAAGCGUGGGGAGCAAACAGG
This 253-nucleotide ribosomal RNA is filed under the name uncultured bacterium. RNAcentral's name for it is "partial 16S ribosomal RNA". It matches the Rfam family "Bacterial small subunit ribosomal RNA", at positions 524 to 776 of the family's 1533-position model. The record is from RNAcentral.